UACGAGGGGUGCAAACGUUGCUCGGAACCAUUGGGCGUAAAGCGCACGUAGGCGGCUUGCCAAGUCGGACGUGAAAUCCCUCAGCUCAACUGAGGACGUGCAUCCGAAACUGGCGAGCUUGAGUACUGAAGAGGAUCGCGGAAUUCCCGGUGUAGAGGUGAAAUUCGUAGAUAUCGGGAGGAACACCAGUGGCGAAGGCGGCGAUCUGGGCAGAUACUGACGCUGAGGUGCGAAAGCGUGGGGAGCAAACAGG
This 253-nucleotide ribosomal RNA is filed under the name uncultured bacterium. Its description in RNAcentral is "partial 16S ribosomal RNA". It matches the Rfam family "Bacterial small subunit ribosomal RNA", at positions 524 to 776 of the family's 1533-position model. The record is from RNAcentral.